GCAGAGACUCAAGUGCCCACCUGUACUUUAUUCAAACUUUCCACAAGGCAAAGUUGGAUCUCUAAGGACUUGUCUUUCUCAGCUAAAGGGUUCAUUUUACCUGUAUGGAUGUUAAGAUGGAGGAGACAUCGUAAGUAGGACUCCAACGAUUCUGAAGAAUAUCCAGACAUAUACUACCGUCUGCAUAGACUAGAAAAGGUUCAAGAAGAAUGGCUUAACACAGAAGUUGUACAGCUCUCAGUUUGUCCUAGUACUGCCUGCUCCUGAAAACCCUGGGUACUGACAAACACUACAAUAGCAUCUGACAGCAAACAAGCCUGUAGGAAGGAAUAGGUGAAGCUUGUCACCAACAGCUGCCUGUGGUAUUUAAACUCAAUCCCUGCUUAUUCUUUAACAUCAAGCUUUUCUGUGACAUUGCAACUGCCAUUAAUAGGUUUUAAGGCAAAAAAAAUUAAGCUACCCACAAGUGAACCAAAUACACAAGCCAAGAGCUGUUUACAGGUAAGGCUUCCGCAGAAAGUACCUACAACAGUCAGUGUCUAGUGUUCUAAAGCUCAUGGCAGCUUUAGAAGAACUUUCCCUCAGGGCACUUCACUUACCUGCUACAUUUGAAAGUUUCUAGUAUUCCUUCACAAAGCUAAUAUUUCUUGGAGACAAGGAAUACAGCUCCAACCUUUAAUUACCACAGAAGGGGGUUAAUUAAAUGAUCUGUCACUCUCUAUAGUUGGAAACUAGCACUACAUUUCGAGGUAUGUCAUUCUUACUGGCAUUUUGGGGAAGUGGUAAAAGACAACUGCAUUCAGCAGCAUCACACGUCCAGUGUCCAUACAUACUGCUGUAUAUGCAGUACAGAUGGAUAGAAGUCCAAGGCACUGCUCUUUAAGUACAAAAUAUUAAGGUUUAACAACAGGCAGUUGAGAGAGAAGUGUCUCAAUACUGUGCUGUAACACCUGAAAGGUAAGAGGCUCCUUUUAUUGCCCCUUUCAUUUCAAGCACUGCUCACAUAUUCAUCCUUACCAAACCUACAUAGAACCACACUGGAGUUUUGCUUGCUUAUUAAAUAGUGGAAACUUUGAUAAUAAAUGGACCUUUUUCUACAACACUAUGAAAAGCUAGAACUUGAAAAGCAGCAGCAUUGUGUAAGUACUUACCAUUUGGAUGAAACAUUUUAGAGACAAAUCUAACAGUGGGUGGCUUAUUCGGAUAUUCUUCUGUGAAUUCUAUUGUAAGUUUGAAAGUUCCUGGAGUUGAAAGAGAGA
Molecule: long non-coding RNA, 1259 nt
Organism: Strigops habroptila (Kakapo)
Lineage: Eukaryota; Metazoa; Chordata; Aves; Psittaciformes; Psittacidae
Exons: 2
Source: RefSeq, a predicted model, not a curated record